This 3197-nucleotide ribosomal RNA is filed under the name Plasmodium chabaudi chabaudi. RNAcentral describes it as "eukaryotic LSU rRNA". It matches the Rfam family "Eukaryotic large subunit ribosomal RNA", at positions 650 to 3401 of the family's 3401-position model. The record is from RNAcentral. Lineage: Eukaryota; Apicomplexa; Aconoidasida; Haemosporida; Plasmodiidae.
CGUCUUGAAACACGGACCAAGGAGUCUAACAAAUGUGCAAGCGUAUAUAUGUUUUUAACUAUACAAUAAAGAAAUUAUACUUUAUAAUUACGCGUAAUUAAUGUGACCAUUCUGGCUUAAAAACGGGUGUAGAUUAUACUGAAAUUGAAUUAUUUAUUUUUCACUUGAAGUAUAUGCAUACAAUACCAGUUAGCAAUUAUGCUUAAUUGAGUAUGAGUAUAUUUGUUAGGACCCGAGAGGCUUUGAACUAAGCGUGGUGAGAUUGAAGUCAGACGAAAGUCUGAUGGAGGAUCGAAUUGAUACUGACGUGCAAAUCGUUCAUUUCAAUCACGUUUAGGGGCGAAAGACUAAUCGAAAAGCCUAUUAGCUGGUUAUUUUCGAAAGAUCUCUCAGGAUCGCUGGAGUUGAUUAAUAUAGUUUUACGAGGUAGAGAUAAUGAUUAGAGGACUCAGGGAAACCAUUUCCUUGACCUAUUCUCAAACUCCCAAUGCGUAAUAAGGGAAUAAUAUCUUCAACUGUAUUUUUUCCACUUUAUAAAUAAAAUAACUCCAAGUGGGCCAUUUUUGGUAAGCAGAACUGGCGAUGAGGGAUGCUCCUAACGCUUGGAUAAGGUGCCUAAAUAUUCGCUCAUGAGAUCCCAUAAAAGGUGUUGGUUCAUAAUGACAGUAGGACGGUGGUCAUGGAAGUCGAAAUCCGCUAAGGAGUGUGUAACAACUUACCUACCGAAUGAACUAGCCCUGAAAAUGGAUGGCGCUAAAGCGAGUUACCGAUACCGAGCCAUAGAAGGAGAUUUAAAGUUUAAUUGAGGUAUUUUAUCCUUAUUAGGCUUUUCUUGAAUCUUUCUAUGAGUAGAAAAUCGUGGGGUUUGUGUCGAAGCAAUAUGCGUGAGCUAUUGUGGAACAUAUCCCUAGUGCAGAUCUUGGUGGAAGUAGCAAUUAUUCAAAUGAGAACUUUGAAGACUGAAGUGGAGAAGGGUUUCUUGUCAACUGUGAUUGUACAAGAGUUAGCCGCUCCUAAGGGAAAGCUGAAAAGCAUUUAAAUGGGGAUUUGGUGUUGCAAGCAAUUGUUGCAUCUUUUCUCUGUCUCAAAAGGGAAACAGGUUAAUAUUCCUGUGCCAAAGUUAUUUAGUUUAUUAAAGUAUAGUUGGUAACAUAAAUUAGAACUCCUUAACAUAGGUUUUACGAUCGAGAUGCGUUAUCUUUGCAUUUUAACUUUAUAGCAGACCUCGGAAUCAAAUUAAUUGGAGAACAGGUUUGUUGAAUUGCAAUUCAGGGUUUUUUUAAGUGCUGGGAUAAUAUAUAAGUCCCCAUUCUAAAAAAUUCGGUUUUGUAGUAAUAGUAAUUCAAUUUAUGGAUUAUUCGAUAUGUAAGAACUAUCCUUGAAAAAAGGGGGGAACAGCGAUUAUAAUGGAGGAUGGAUAUAAUACAAAUUAUAUAUAAUUAUGUAUUUAUCUAUGUAUACGUUAUAUUUGCGCAUUAACAUAAAAUUACUUAUGAGCGUACCCACAACCGCAUCAGGUCUCCUAGGUUAAUAGCCUCUGGUUAAAUAGAAAAAAGUAAGUAAGGGAAGUCGGCAAAAUAGAUCCGUAACUUCGGGAAAAGGAUUGGCUCUGAGGACAUAAGAGUAGAGAGAAGUUUGAAGUAUCAUUUAAAAUAAGAUAUAAAGAAUACUUCAUGGUUCGCCGUGAUGCAUUUUUACAUUAUCUUGUUUUUCAGAAUGGUAUUUUGUUCUAUCCCUCUAUUCGCCGCUGUUUUGGUCGUCACUUCGGUGGCGGCUUUAAUGGCUCUAUAAUGUUAACUCAGAACUGAAACGGACAAGGGGAAUCCGACUGUUUAAUUAAAACUUAGCUUUGUGAUAGCCAGAAAUGGUAUUAACACAAAGUGAUUUCUGCCCAGUGCUUUGAAUGUCAACUUGAUGAAAUUCAAUGAAGCGCAGGUAAACGGCGGGAGUAACUAUGACUCUCUUAAGGUAGCCAAAUGCCUCGUCAUCUAAUUAGUGACGCGCAUGAAUGGAUUAACGAGAUUCCCACUGUCCCUACUUGCUAUCUAGCGAAACCACAGCCAAGGGAACGGGCUUGGCCAAAUCAGCGGGGAAAGAAGACCCUGUUGAGCUUUACUCUAGUCUGGCUUUGUGAAACGACUUAAGAGGUGUAGUAUAAGUGGGAGUAGAGAUUGAAAUAUAUUUUCUACGUCAAUGAAAUACCACUACUUUUAAAGUUGUUUUACUUAUCUGUUUAUAGGGAAAUAUAUUUAUACAGGCCAAGAAUUUCGGUUUUUGAUGCUUGAUAUAUCUAAUAUUAUUUGAAUUUAAUGGGGCCUUACGGCUUUCAUUAUUCUCCCGCACUAUGGAGACAUAGCCAGGUGGGGAGUUUGACUGGGGCGGUACAUCUGUUAAACAAUAACGCAGAUGUCCAAAGACAAGCUCAAAGAGAACAGAAAUCUCUUGUAGACUAAAAGGGGAAAAGCUUGUUUGAUUUCUAUUUUCAGAAAAAGUAGAAAACGUGAAAGCGUGGCCUAUCGAUCCUUUAUUAUUGCAAAAUUAUAAGACUUGUUCUUUACUGUGCAUAUAGAGGUGUCUGAAAAGUUACCACAGGGAUAACUGGCUUGUGGCUGCCAAGCGCUCCUAGCGACGUAGCUUUUUGAUCCUUCGAUGUCGGCUCUUCCUAUCAUUGGGACGCAGAAGUCCCAAAGUGUCGGAUUGUUCACCCGCUAAUAGGGAACGUGAGCUGGAUUUAGACCGUCGCGAGACAGGUUAGUUUUACCCUACUGAUGAAUUUAUUCUUUUUAAUGUAUUGUGACAGUAAUCCAACUUGGUACGAGAGGAUUAGUUGGUUCAGACAUUUGGUACAGCGAUUGGUUGACAAACCAUUGUCGCGAAGCUACGUCUGUUGGAUAAUGACUGAACGCCUCUUAAGUCAGAACCCAUGCUGAUUAAACAAUACUAUUGGUUCUUUUUUGUCCACUUUUACAAUAUAAAUGUAAGAGAGAAAAAAUAUGUACUCAUACUAGCAAGUUUUGUAUGAAUGCAACUAUUCCCAUGGCCCAUUAGGAUCUGGUAUUCUUUUGGGUAUUACUAAUUUAACAACGAAAAAGACAUACACAAAUUGUAGACGACUUUUAUAUCUUAAGGUGCUGUAAACAUGAAAGUAAACCUUGUUUUACGAUCUGUUGAGGCUAAUCCUUUAUGAUAAAGUGUUU